RNAcentral lists this long non-coding RNA (354 nucleotides) under Dermacentor andersoni. Its description in RNAcentral is "uncharacterized LOC126525201". Lineage: Eukaryota; Metazoa; Arthropoda; Arachnida; Ixodida; Ixodidae. The record is from RNAcentral.
AGGCUCCAGCUAAAGCUCCUCCAUCCGCAGAAACUCGGCCCGACAGUGGUGGCAAAACUACUUUGGCCCCUGAUUACUGGCCCGGUUAUUUGUUCCCAUAUUUUAGUUACAAUUCGAGAGACUGCAGGGAUGAAGAUUAUAAUCCAAGACGAGAUGGUGCUGCGUGCCUGGUAACUCCAUUGGCGGAAGAAAUUGGUGGCCCGACGAACUGUUACGUUGGAGUUUGCUGGGAUGGCGCGUGUGCUGCCAUUCGACGAUCGAAAUGCUCCACAAUGUGACGUUAGAAAGUAGCAGGCACGCUUUGUUAGCGCCUAGUACCUCGUCAAAAUAAAAUAAUAAAAAAAUUGCUGUGAA